AGCUGCAGGGAGGGGGUCGCCCCGGGAGCGCGCUGCAGUGGAGGACCUCGCCGGGGAAGAUGAAACCCACACGCGCUGGGCGCUGGCUCUGGCUCCGCGUGUAGCACAUAGAAGGUGGCCUGCCCGUACACGGGAAUGCCAAUUCGCCGGCUCUACACUCCCAUUCUUGUAUACAGCGAAGUGAUGUUCAGACAGUGAGGGAAAUAAAAGACCUAAAAAUCUGCUGAUGGUGUCCAAGGACGACGUGCUGCGAAUGCGAUUUUUUCCCUUGUAGUGUCUAGUGUAGUAUACUAUUAGGUGAAAUGGUAGCAUGUGCUAUGACUUUUCAGUAGAAAGACACGUGCAACUUUGAGCAAUGCGAUUUUUUAUGUAGCCGAAGUGAAUGAUGCGGUGAUGCACUGUUGCCAUUGUAUUUUGUCCUCUAGUUACUGCGUGUCUAGCUUUC
Molecule: long non-coding RNA, 445 nt
Organism: Lolium rigidum
Lineage: Eukaryota; Viridiplantae; Streptophyta; Magnoliopsida; Poales; Poaceae
Exons: 2
Source: RefSeq, a predicted model, not a curated record